RNAcentral lists this ribosomal RNA (253 nucleotides) under uncultured bacterium. Its description in RNAcentral is "partial 16S ribosomal RNA". It matches the Rfam family "Bacterial small subunit ribosomal RNA", at positions 524 to 776 of the family's 1533-position model. The record is from RNAcentral.
UACGAGGGGGGCAAGCGUUGUUCGGAUUUAUUGGGCGUAAAGGGUGCGUAGGCGGGUCUUUAAGUCAGGGGUGAAAUCCUGGAGCUCAACUCCAGAACUGCCUUUGAUACUGAGGAUCUUGAGUUCGGGAGAGGUGAGUGGAACUGCGAGUGUAGAGGUGAAAUUCGUAGAUAUUCGCAAGAACACCAGUGGCGAAGGCGGCUCACUGGCCCGAUACUGACGCUGAGGCACGAAAGCGUGGGGAGCAAACAGG